AUUGAACGCUGGCGGCAUGCUUUACACAUGCAAGUCGAACGGCAGCGCGGGCUUCGGCCUGGCGGCGAGUGGCGAACGGGUGAGUAAUACAUCGGAACGUGCCCAGUAGUUGGGGAUAGCUCGGCGAAAGCCGGAUGAAUACCGCAUACGACCUGAGGGUGAAAGCGGGGGAUCUUCGGACCUCGCGCUAUUGGAGCGGCCGAUGGCAGAUUAGCUAGUUGGUGGGGUAAAGGCCUACCAAGGCGACGAUCUGUAGCUGGUCUGAGAGGACGACCAGCCACACUGGGACUGAGACACGGCCCAGACUCCUACGGGAGGCAGCAGUGGGGAAUUUUGGACAAUGGGCGAAAGCCUGAUCCAGCAAUGCCGCGUGUGUGAUGAAGGCCUUCGGGUUGUAAAGCACUUUUGGCGGGAAAGAAAAGGACUGUGCCAAUACCACGGUUCGAUGACGGUACCCGCAGAAUAAGCACCGGCUAACUACGUG
Molecule: ribosomal RNA, 484 nt
Filed under: uncultured bacterium
Lineage: Bacteria
Description: partial 16S ribosomal RNA
Rfam family: Bacterial small subunit ribosomal RNA
Source: RNAcentral